UACGUAGGGUGCAAGCGUUGUCCGGAUUUACUGGGCGUAAAGGGCGUGCAGGCGGUUUGCUAAGUCUAGGGUGAAAGCUCCCGGCUUAACUGGGAGAGGUCCUUGGAUACUGGCAGACUUGAGGAGGGUAGAGGAGAGUGGAAUUCUCGGUGUAGCGGUGAAAUGCGUAGAUAUCGAGAGGAACACCUGCGGCGAAGGCGGGUUGCUGGGCCGACACUGACGCUGAGGCGCGAAAGCCAGGGGAGCGAACGGG
This 253-nucleotide ribosomal RNA is filed under the name uncultured bacterium. RNAcentral's name for it is "partial 16S ribosomal RNA". It matches the Rfam family "Bacterial small subunit ribosomal RNA", at positions 524 to 776 of the family's 1533-position model. The record is from RNAcentral.